CUGUAAUCCCAGCUACUUGGGAGGCUGAGGAAUGAGAAUCACUUGAACCCAGAAGGCGGAGGUUGCAGUGAGCUGAGAUCCGGCCACUGCAUUCCAGACUGGGCAACAGGCAAGACUUUGUCUCAAAAUAAUAAUUGGCAAAUAAAUUAUGUGAAAACAACUUUUUAUAUUAGCCUCAAGAAAGAUGAACUCUUUAUCACCUUGAGUCUUUCUCUCUCCUAGGAGCAAAAACCUUUUUUUUUUUUUUUUUUUUUGGUAGAGGACCACCCCCCUAGAACCCUUCUUCUAAUAUCUUAGAGGUUAGAACUGCUUCACAUACAUUCCUCCACCAAACACUGGCAAGGAGGAUGGACUAUCCAUGAUUGGCUUAGGGUAAUUAAGAUUCAAGUUACAUGGCCUCCUAAUAUGCAAAAAGACCUGGGGCUCUUGAUAAUCUACAUCUUUGACACAAUUAGUCACUUCUCUUGCAUUAUAUUUUGCUUCCAGCCCUUGGCAGAAUGGUCUAAUAGUCAAUGACCCUGUCACCAACUUCUUUUUUUUUUUCCUAAACCUACUUUCUAUCUUCCACUCCUCAGGAGUUCCUGACACCCAUCAUUGUUUUUUGUUUUUUUCUUUUUCUUUCUGUCAGAAACUCCUCUCAAAUCAAAUGGAAUUGCGAAAGUCAGGAUAAGACAAUAUAUCACUAUCUGUGGUAUGCAGAAUAAUGGUCCCCUAAAGAUGUCUACAUCUUGAUCUUUGGAAUCUGUGUAUCAGGUUACAUGGAAAGGAGAAUUAAGGCUCCUAACACUGAUAUGGUGAAUCCUGUACCACGCUUCUAUCCUGCAGAAUUAUAAAAUAAAUUUGUAUUACUUUAAGCUACUAAGUUUGUGGUAAUUUCUUACAGAAGUGAUAGAAAACACAAUACACUUUCCAAAAAUAUUUACAUUUUAACAAGGGACAAAGCCCUUCCUUGACUUAGCAUAUUUUUCGUUGCAAGAGAUAGAAACUUGAUUCAAAACAAAAAAGGAUCUAUUGGGUCACAUCACCAUCCAACUGUGGAAAAGACAGGAAUGGAACUGUGUCAGGAAGGCCUAGAACCAGACGUUAACAUCAUCCCCCAUCCCCAGUCACUGGGCAUCUGUAUCUGUUCUCUUCAUUCACGCCAGCUUAGUCCCAACAGCAGGGAACUUGGCCAACCACAGCUCUAGGUCUGCCCCCAUGACUCAAACACCUCCCAUUAGGCCCCAUCUCCAAUCCUGGGGAUCAAAUUUCAACAUGAGGUUUGGAGGGGAAGAAUUUCCAAACCAUAGCAUUCCACCCCUGGCCCCCAAAACUGAUGUCCUUCCCACAUGUAAAGUACAAUCAUCCAUCUCAACGGUCCCAAAUGUCUUAAGUUGUUCCAGUACCAACUCAAAUGUCCAAAGUCCAAAAUCUCAUCUGAGAUUCAAGAACAGUUCCUUUCAGCUAUGAGCAUGUAAAAUAAAAAACAAGUUAUUUCAUUCCAAGAUACAAUGGUUAUACAGGCAUUCCCAUGUCAAACAUUCCCAUGUCAAAUGGGAGAAAUCAGUGAAAAGAAAAGGGUAAUAGGCCCCAUGCGUGUCCAAAACCCAGCAGGGCAGGCAUUAAAUCUUAAAACUCCAAAAUAAUCUCCUCUAUGUCCCACAACCUGGGCACACUGGUGGGUCCUGAGGCCUUGAGCAGACCCAUCCCUGUGGCUUUUC
Molecule: long non-coding RNA, 1700 nt
Filed under: Homo sapiens (human)
Lineage: Eukaryota; Metazoa; Chordata; Mammalia; Primates; Hominidae
Description: HSALNT0042837
Source: RNAcentral